RNAcentral lists this ribosomal RNA (434 nucleotides) under uncultured bacterium. RNAcentral's name for it is "bacterial SSU rRNA". It matches the Rfam family "Bacterial small subunit ribosomal RNA", at positions 29 to 506 of the family's 1533-position model. The record is from RNAcentral.
AUGAAUGCUGGCGACAUGGAUAAGGCAUGCAAGUCAAGGGGGCCCGCAAGGGCAACCGGCAGACGAGGUAGUAACACGUAAGUACGUACCCCAUAGUCUGGUAUAGCUCGUCGAAAGGCGGGGUAAUCCCGGAUGGUCCCGCAAGGGUAAAGAUUUAUCGCUAUGGGAACGGCUUGCGUAAUAUCAGCUUGUUGGUGAGGUAAUGGCUCACCAAGGCUACGACGUUUAGGGGAGCUGAGAGGCUGACCCCCACCGAUGGGACUGAGACACGGCCCAUACUCCUACGGGAGGCCGCAGUCGAGAAUCUUCCACAAUGGACGAAAGUCUGAUGGAGCGAUGUCGCGUGAUGGAUGAAGUGCUUCGGUACGUAAACAUCUUUUAUGUGGGACGAAAUUAUUGACGGUACCACAUGAAUAAGGGGCUCCUAACUCUGU